CAGCAGCCGCGGUAAUACGGAGGGGGCUAGCGUUGUUCGGAAUUACUGGGCGUAAAGCGCACGUAGGCGGCUUUGUAAGUUAGAGGUGAAAGCCCGGAGCUCAACUCCGGAAUUGCCUUUAAGACUGCAGAGCCAGCAGGUGAGAGAGGUGAGUGGAAUUCCGAGUGUAGAGGUGAAAUUCGUAGAUAUUCGGAAGAACACCAGUGGCGAAGGCGGCUCACUGGCUCAUACUGGACGCUGAGGUGCGAAAGCGUGGGGAGCAAACAGGAUUAGAUACCCCCGUAGUCCCUGUCUCUUAUAU
RNAcentral lists this ribosomal RNA (301 nucleotides) under uncultured bacterium. RNAcentral describes it as "partial 16S ribosomal RNA". It matches the Rfam family "Bacterial small subunit ribosomal RNA", at positions 509 to 809 of the family's 1533-position model. The record is from RNAcentral.